This 468-nucleotide ribosomal RNA is filed under the name uncultured bacterium. RNAcentral's name for it is "partial 16S ribosomal RNA". It matches the Rfam family "Bacterial small subunit ribosomal RNA", at positions 28 to 507 of the family's 1533-position model. The record is from RNAcentral.
GACGAACGCUGGCGGCGUGCUUAACACAUGCAAGUCGAACGGAAAGGCCCUGCUUUUGUGGGGUGCUCGAGUGGCGAACGGGUGAGUAACACGUGAGUAACCUGCCCUUGACUUUGGGAUAACUUCAGGAAACUGGGGCUAAUACCGGAUAUGAGCUCCUGCUGCAUGGUGGGGGUUGGAAAGUUUCGGCGGUUGGGGAUGGACUCGCGGCUUAUCAGCUUGUUGGUGGGGUAGUGGCUUACCAAGGCUUUGACGGGUAGCCGGCCUGAGAGGGUGACCGGCCACAUGGGGACUGAGAUACGGACCAGAAUCCUACGGGAGGCAGCAGUGGGGAAUAUUGCACAAUGGGCGGAAGCCUGAUGCAGCAACGCCGCGUGCGGGAUGACGGCCUUCGGGUUGUAAACCGCUUUCGACUGUGACGAAGCGUGAGUGACGGUAAUGGGUAAAGAAGCACCGGCUAACUACGUG